ACGAGUGGUGCAAGCGUUAUUCGGAAUCAUUGGGCGUACAGGGCGUGUAGGUGGUAUGUUAAGUCUGUUGUUAAAGACUCUAGCCUAACUGGAGAAAGGCAAUGGAAACUGGUGUACUAGAGGGUGGAAGAGAGAAGUGGAAUUCUCGGUGUAGCGGUAAAAUGCGUAGAUAUCGAGAGGAACACCGAUGGCGAAGGCAGCUUCUUAGUCCAUACCUGACACUGAGGCGCGAAAGCGUGGGGAGCAAACAG
RNAcentral lists this ribosomal RNA (251 nucleotides) under uncultured prokaryote. RNAcentral's name for it is "partial 16S rRNA". It matches the Rfam family "Bacterial small subunit ribosomal RNA", at positions 525 to 775 of the family's 1533-position model. The record is from RNAcentral.